GCCUUCGUGGCGUAGUGGCCAGCACGCUCGACGCGUAUUCGAGAGGUUCGUGGUUCGAGUCCCGGCGAAGGCG
Molecule: non-coding RNA, 73 nt
Organism: Stegodyphus mimosarum
Lineage: Eukaryota; Metazoa; Arthropoda; Arachnida; Araneae; Eresidae
Source: Rfam